This 73-nucleotide transfer RNA is filed under the name Listeria grayi DSM 20601. It matches the Rfam family "tRNA". From Rfam's summary of the family: Transfer RNA (tRNA) molecules are approximately 80 nucleotides in length. Their secondary structure includes four short double-helical elements and three loops (D, anti-codon, and T loops). Further hydrogen bonds mediate the characteristic L-shaped molecular structure. tRNAs have two regions of fundamental functional importance: the anti-codon, which is responsible for specific mRNA codon recognition, and the 3' end, to which the tRNAs corresponding amino acid is attached (by aminoacyl-tRNA synthetases). tRNAs cope with the degeneracy of the genetic code in two manners: having more than one tRNA (with a specific anti-codon) for a particular amino acid; and 'wobble' base-pairing, i.e. permitting non-standard base-pairing at the 3rd anti-codon position. The record is from Rfam by way of RNAcentral. Lineage: Bacteria; Bacillati; Bacillota; Bacilli; Caryophanales; Listeriaceae.
UCCCCAGUAGCUCAGUUGGUUGAGCAAUCGGCUGUUAACCGAUCGGUCGUAGGUUCGGGUCCUACCUGUGGAG